Bos taurus (domestic cattle) is the source of this 460-nucleotide long non-coding RNA. The record is from Ensembl. NCBI's taxonomy places the organism in Eukaryota, Metazoa, Chordata, Mammalia, Artiodactyla, Bovidae.
GGCAACCGUGGAAGCAGAGGCUGGAUGCCGACUUUCUCAGGCCUCCUGAAGCACAGCCCAGCUGAUGCCCAUCUUGGCUGUAGGCCAAGCAGCUGAUGCAAAUCUUAGCCCGGCUGGUACCUUCCAAGGGGUUGGUUUAUCCCAGGCACCCUCUUGUUCUAAGCCCCACGAUGCCCAUCUUGCUGCUGCUGCUAAAUCACUUCAGUCGUAUCCAACUCUGUGACCCCAUAAACAGCAGCCCACCAGGCUCCCCCAUCCAUGGGAUUUUCCAGGCAAGAGUACCUUCUCCGAUGCCCAUCUUAGCUUGAGGGAAAACGAAAGAGACUCAGAGCCCAGCAGCCACUGAAGCCCUGGUUUCAGGAUCUACCUGAGAGGUGUGGUAUCACAGCUCCUGGUAUUUUGUUUGAAAGAAGAUAAUUCAGAAGAUACAUCAAAAACAGUGUCUUCAAAGGCACUGACU